AAACUUCUUAAAAAGGGGGAAGAUGAAUUGAGCAGGGACAAUUAUUUGAAAUUAUGAGAGGGAAAUGGUGUUUUCUUACACAUAAUCUCUAGAGUUUUACAGCAACAACGUAGCAGCGAUCACAGCACCUAUAAUUGGGUUGCAAUAUAUCUCUUCUUCUUUGGGUCUGGGCAGUAUAAUUUUAGAUAUGGACUCUAAACUCAUGGUGGAUAUUAUUAGUUGUCUUAGCAAAUCCGGG
RNAcentral lists this long non-coding RNA (238 nucleotides) under Capsicum annuum. RNAcentral describes it as "long non-coding RNA (CANN_LNC011233)". The record is from RNAcentral. Lineage: Eukaryota; Viridiplantae; Streptophyta; Magnoliopsida; Solanales; Solanaceae.